RNAcentral lists this ribosomal RNA (492 nucleotides) under uncultured bacterium. Its description in RNAcentral is "partial 16S ribosomal RNA". It matches the Rfam family "Bacterial small subunit ribosomal RNA", at positions 29 to 507 of the family's 1533-position model. The record is from RNAcentral.
AGUGAACGCUGGCGGUAGGCCUAACACAUGCAAGUCGAACGGCAGCACAGUAAGAGCUUGCUCUUACGGGUGGCGAGUGGCGGACGGGUGAGGAAUACAUCGGAAUCUACUUUUUCGUGGGGGAUAACGUAGGGAAACUUACGCUAAUACCGCAUACGACCUACGGGUGAAAGCAGGGGAUCUUCGGACCUUGCGCGAUUGAAUGAGCCGCUGUCGGAUUAGCUAGUUGGCGGGGUAAAGGCCCACCAAGGCGACGAUCCGUAGCUGGUCUGAGAGGAUGAUAAGCCACACUGGAACUGGGACACGGUCCAGACGCCUACGGGAGGCAGCAGUGGGGAAUAUUGGACAAUGGGCGCAAGCCUGAUCCAGCCAGACCGCGUGGGUGAAGAAGGCCUUCGGGUUGUAAAGCCCUUUUGUUGGGAAAGAAAAGCAGCAGGUUAAUACCCCGCUGUUCUGACGGUACCCAAAGAAUAAGCACCGGCUAACUUCGUG